UACGUAGGUGGCAAGCGUUGUCCGGAUUUACUGGGCGUAAAGAGCGCGCAGGCGGUCGUUCAAGUCGCGUGUGAAAGCCCCCGGCUCAACUGGGGAGGGUCACGCGAUACUGAUCGACUCGAAGGCAGGAGAGGGUAGUGGAAUUCCCGGUGUAGUGGUGAAAUGCGUAGAUAUCGGGAGGAACACCAGUGGCGAAGGCGACUACCUGGCCUGUGCUUGACGCUGAGGCGCGAAAGCUAGGGGAGCAAACGGG
This 253-nucleotide ribosomal RNA is filed under the name uncultured bacterium. RNAcentral's name for it is "partial 16S ribosomal RNA". It matches the Rfam family "Bacterial small subunit ribosomal RNA", at positions 524 to 776 of the family's 1533-position model. The record is from RNAcentral.